Molecule: unclassified non-coding RNA, 345 nt
Filed under: soil metagenome
Description: partial contains 5.8S ribosomal RNA, internal transcribed spacer 2, and large subunit ribosomal RNA
Rfam family: 5.8S ribosomal RNA (bases 1-120)
Source: RNAcentral
GAUGAAGAACGCAGCGAAAUGCGAUACGUAAUGUGAAUUGCAGAAUUCAGUGAAUCAUCGAGUCUUUGAACGCACAUUGCGCCCUCUGGUAUUCCGGAGGGCAUGCCUGUCCGAGCGUCAUUGCUGCCCUCAAGCACGGCUUGUGUGUUUGGCCCCGCCCCCCGAUCCCGGGGGGCGGGCCCGAAAGGCAGCGGCGGCACCGCGUCCGGUCCUCGAGCGUAUGGGGCUUUGUCACCCGCUCUGUAGGCCCGGCCGGCGCCUGCCGAUCAACCAAACUUUUUUCCAGGUUGACCUCGGAUCAGGUAGGGAUACCCGCUGAACUUAAGCAUAUCAAUAAGCGGAGGA